RNAcentral lists this ribosomal RNA (253 nucleotides) under uncultured bacterium. RNAcentral describes it as "partial 16S ribosomal RNA". It matches the Rfam family "Bacterial small subunit ribosomal RNA", at positions 524 to 776 of the family's 1533-position model. The record is from RNAcentral.
UACGAAGGGGGCUAGCGUUGCUCGGAAUUACUGGGCGUAAAGCGCAUGUAGGCGGAUCCUUAAGUCGGUGGUGAAAUCCUGAAGCUCAACUUCAGAACUGCCUUCGAUACUGGGGACCUUGAGUUCGGGAGAGGUGAGUGGAACUGCGAGUGUAGAGGUGAAAUUCGUAGAUAUUCGCAAGAACACCAGUGGCGAAGGCGGCUCACUGGCCCGAUACUGACGCUGAGGUGCGAAAGCGUGGGGAGCAAACAGG